CUCCCCUCCCUAUCCCAGGGCCCUUCGCACGCGGCCCUCGGUGACCGCAGCUGGCUCCGUGAUGGCAGCCCUGCUGUUAUUCCUCUAAUCACAGUCCCCUGCUACGUUUCCCACUGGACUCAUCCGUUUCUCUGGUCUCCUCCUCUCUCCAAGACUUGUAAUUUCAGCGUUUACUCUUCCCGUUCUUCCCAUCUGCCUGUCCCCGCUCCUGGUGUCGGUCACCCUCGGCCUCCGCCUGAAACCUGCUUAAUCCAGCUCAGAUAUUCUGGGGGCUCGGCUGCCAAGAUGAAAUAGGCCUGGAAGUUUUCACAUCAAAACUGUUAUUUUUCAAAUUAUCACUUAUCCACAUGCAGGAAGCCUGUAACAGGUAUGGAAAAAGACACCUUUCUUCCUGAUGCGACGCACUGCCAGAUUCCGUGUAUCCAUUCCAAAGCACGGCAGGACUAGAACAUCUCAUUAAACAAUUGUGAGGGGGUUUUGGUUUUGUUUUACAUUGGCGAGAGGCUGACUUUUUUCCCUGACCUCAUCUUUGGCAGAGGCUGAGCUAUUUUUACUGAAACUCUUCAACAAACCAAGUUCAUUUACUAUACAGUUUUGGAUAGAAUGACCCAAUCCCAAACAGUUAUAAACCAGAGGAAUUGUAACUAAAAAGAGUUUUGAACAAGAAUGUGUCACUCAGAUUUGCCAUACCAUGCAUAAUUUGCCAUAUUAGUAUUUUUUUCUCAUUAUCGUUCAUCAUUAAUUUUAAAUCUAGUCUUUUCAGUGUGAUCUAAAAUAUGCUGGAGGGAGUUUGAUGUUGGACACAUUAGCACCAACUAUAAAUACUGAACAGAGGCUUAUUCUUACAGUUGGAAUAAAAUCUCUCUAUUCUGCAAUGUCUUGAUUAAAUUUAGUCUCAGGAUUUCAAUCUAGAGUCUACAGUGAAACUUUCUUUGUAUGUUUAACAAUAAAAAAUAUAAUCAUCUUUGCACAGGUAACAGAUAAAAAGUACUUUGUGUGUGGGCAAAAAGCAUCUUGUUUUCUUAAUUUCCUCCUGGAUUUCCUUCACAGGAAAUUUUCCCACUCUCACAAAUGUCAAAUAUCAACCACUUGCAAAUGUCUACUCUAAUGACAGUUCAAACACAGGGCGUAGCAAAGCUUUGGUAAUUAAGCCAUUAGAAAUUAUUAUCGUAUCUAUCAUAUUUUAAUGAGUGACAAAGCAGAUGGAACUACCCAGAUCCAUCAGUCUCCUCUCUAUAUUCAAGCAGAACUGAGUCUCAGAAUAGGAGUUUUUAGCAAUAUGUUUUCAUUAGAAUUUUUUUUUUUUUUAAGUGAAAUUUCAAUGCUUUAUAUUUUGCUGGGAUUUAUCUCAACAAGAUUUUGCAAAGUCAACUCUGGAACAUCUCCGGGGUCCUUGACCAUGUCAGAGUCCAAUGAUCCCUGCGACUUUGUACACCGAUAAAAAGCCGCAGUAACCUCCCUAUUCCCCGAUAUCCUCGUCCGUGUGGGUUUGGGAGCUAUUAGCUGGCUUUAAGGUGACAUCUGGUGGUACCUUUUAAUUACUGCUCUUUUUAGGACCUGAUCCCAGAACUACGCAAAUGAAUUAUCUUUCCCCUGUUCCACAUCAAAAAAAAUUACCUCCUUUUUGUUUCCCAAGCAAGAUACUUGUAAUUCCUGCUUUUGGACUGCAAGUGUCUUACUGGUAAUAUCCGGGAAUAAGCACUUAUCCCACAGUCUGGUGUAAAAUUACAUCAUGAAUUCACACCAGAGCGAUCCAGUGCAGUUGAAUUUCAGUAGGAAACAAUCACUUUGCGUUUCACGUACCAUUUACAUGAGGUCCUGUGACUCGUGACAUUACUCAGCCCUGUUUCGAGAGGGAAAUAAAACCAUUUUAUGAGCCCUCCUAUGGCUUCAUCUCAACAGCAAAUCCGACGUUUUGAAGGCAGAAAAAAGGGUACAUCGCAGCAGAACUUUGUCGCACCAAGUCCCCGUCCCCCCUCGCAGCUGGCAGAAGCACCGGGGCAAAUCUGCAGCCUUGAAACCUGCGGAGGACGAGUGACUUUUGCAGUCUCCCUCCGUUUCCCGGAGAGAGGAAAAUGAACACCGCAUUAGAAGACUCAUCAAAGAGACUCAUCAAAGGCAAAGUCUCGCAGAUGCCGCAGCGCUCUCGCUUCUGCCGGUCUCGCAUCCCAGAAGGGUCCCGCAACCUGUCAAUGCCUGUGCUCAAGGCGGGUGUUCCCUCUCCUCCGCAUGCCCCCAGGCUGCUCCAUGCAAAGAUCGGCCACUCCAAAAAGCAGCUCUGUGGCUUUGCGGUUUGCUCCUCUCCGCUCUCAAAUUGACUCUCUCCUCCAGACGGAUUCCUUUGGCUUUUUAAAUGUAACCGGUCUGGCAAAGGAGGAUUCACUCACGGUUGGACAUAAAAAUAGACAUGAGAAGCUGUGAAGAGCUCUUGGAACAGAGGAUGAGUCAGGACAGAUAUGCAGAGGGAAGAAGAUGAUAUUCCAGCCUUGAAGUCAGGUUCACUGCCUGCGUCAUUGUUAUUAAAAAUAGAUGAAUGGCAGUGCUCUUCGCAUUGGGGGAGAGACACAGGAGAUGUAAUAUCCUGGGCUGCUGAGCAAAUGCUCCCUCUGUCUGCCUGCAAGUCCCCCAGUGGCAUCUUCUGCUCUUUAAUAAAUUCUCUUUUCUUGGCUCUG
This is a non-coding RNA of Cyanistes caeruleus (blue tit), 2672 nucleotides long. Lineage: Eukaryota; Metazoa; Chordata; Aves; Passeriformes; Paridae. The record is from RefSeq and is a predicted model, not a curated record.